RNAcentral lists this transfer RNA (72 nucleotides) under Haemonchus contortus (barber pole worm). RNAcentral's name for it is "tRNA, Pseudo". The record is from RNAcentral. Lineage: Eukaryota; Metazoa; Nematoda; Chromadorea; Rhabditida; Trichostrongylidae.
UUCCUGACCCAGGGAUCAAACCCGGGUCUCCCGCAUUGCAGGCAGACGCUUUACCGUCUGAGCCACUAGGGA